CCUCACGUUCAGGGGUUGUUGUUGUGGCUCAAGCACUUUGACGGGUAGAUGGCACUCAGGUCAGUACCCCUAAAUGGGGAGGCUCUGGCCAGUCACUGCCUUGGCUCUGGGAGCCUGGACUAUAUUUGGAACUCUUAGGGGCCCUGGGUCAUUGUGAAGUCUCCAGCGAGAAAUGAAGAUGGCAUAUGGAAAGGCGAUUCUUAUACUCAGAAGGAAAAGUUCCCAUGGAAGCCAUGGAUUCAUUCAUGACAAAGAUCCCAGCCAUGUUGCCCUCAGUAGCCCUCCCUCCUUGGACUGUGACAGUUUCUCCAUCUUCUUUUGUUUACAUGACCUUGAUCGCUUUGAGGAGUACAGGCCAAGUGUUUCUGAGAGUCAGGGCAGCUCUGCUCUUCCCUUCCUCACCCAGCUCUGUGCUUCGAUGAUGAUCCGGUCUAAGGGCAAAAUGCUGAAUGGCAGAAGGCUGAAGAAAAGCUAAAAGCUCCGUCCUAUUGAGAAGUUCAUCACAGGGAAGACUCCACUGAAGUAAUCAGAUGCCUUUCCUGCUGCCCUGAGUCUUUAACUGUCCAAAGGGAGUCCUGAACCCAAAGCUGUUUCAGCUGCAUGCGAUUGUUAGGAUCAUUCACUCAUACCUCUUCGUUUAGGAUAGAGAACAAUCAGGCAAAGAAAGGGGAGGACUAACCCAAGGUCAGAUAAUUAGCUAAGGGCAUCAGAACCCACAGUUCAGGGUUGUUAGUACCACAUCAAGCUCCCUUGCAAAUUAGCUUCAUAAAUUCUAAGCCCACAGGCUCAGGGCUCAUCUGAAAGAGAUGGACCAGAGAGGAGGAGAUGGAGAAAAAAGUCUCCUACCACACACUGGAACCACUUUUACAGAAGUGCCUGUUGUCUCCCCUGCACCCCUGCACUCCCAACCCCAACAAUGCCAGGCAGCAAGCUGUUGCAGAAAGGAAGCAGGCUGCUGCCCCUGCAGUGUUCAGGCCUCCUCCUGGCAGGGCUCCCUCUACCUGAAUCCAUCUCAGGGAAAUGGUCAUCUCUGACUAUGCUGCACAGAGCCUGCAAAGCUAUGUUAAUAAUCUCUCUGGGCCUUAAACUGAAUAACCAAGAUUUCGCACAUGUACCAUUCACUUCCCACUUAAUAUGCACACUCAAUUUACACAGGAAGUAUGCCUAAGGCUCUUUCAAUGACUGUAUGUGACUACACAUAGGGUUUUUCUUUUAUAACAGAUUGGCAAAUGCCUGAGGUGGUAUGAGUGUGAUGUUGCUGGAAAACCUUAGUUGAAAUUCCUAGACUAUAUGAAAUCCUUUUUAAAUCUCCUUAUUCUGAAAACAUAUUUUUUUAAAAAAAAUUUAGACCACUCAUGGGAUUUAAAGUAAAAAGUACAAAUAUACUGUAUUUCGUGACUAUAAUCAAACUGGAGACAUUAUGCAAACAUAGAGCUCUUAUAUUUUCAUUCUUCUACUUUAGGUCGCAAUUGUCUAUCUCUGCAUUAUGUGCAAACCAAAAUGAGAACUGCAGGAAUAAAACACAUGGUUGUGUCCACGUUCUGAAUGUUCAAGUAUUAGCAGAAUU
Molecule: long non-coding RNA, 1567 nt
Filed under: Homo sapiens (human)
Lineage: Eukaryota; Metazoa; Chordata; Mammalia; Primates; Hominidae
Description: HSALNT0028268
Source: RNAcentral